AAUGAACGCUGGCGGCGCGCCUAAUACAUGCAAGUCGAGCGAGAAGACGUAGCAAUACGUUUGUAAAGCGGCGAACGGGUGAGGAAUACAUGGGUAACCUACCCUCGAGUGGGGAAUAACUAGCCGAAAGGUUAGCUAAUACCGCGUACGCUUCUUGGACUUCGGUUCAGGGAGGAAAGCGAUGCCGAGGGUAUCGCGCUCUUGGAUGGGCUCAUGUCCUAUCAGCUGUUGGUGAGGUAACGGCUCACCAAGGCUUCGACGGGUAGCUGGUCUGAGAGGACGAUCAGCCACACUGGCACUGCGACACGGGCCAGACUCCUACGGGAGGCAGCAGUCGGGAAUUUUGGGCAAUGGGCGAAAGCCUGACCCAGCAACGCCGCGUGAAGGAUGAAGUAUUUCGGUAUGUAAACUUCGAAAGAAUAGGAAGAAUAAAUGACGUACUAUUUAUAA
Molecule: ribosomal RNA, 450 nt
Filed under: uncultured bacterium
Lineage: Bacteria
Description: bacterial SSU rRNA
Rfam family: Bacterial small subunit ribosomal RNA
Source: RNAcentral